RNAcentral lists this ribosomal RNA (522 nucleotides) under uncultured fungus. Its description in RNAcentral is "SSU rRNA". It matches the Rfam family "Eukaryotic small subunit ribosomal RNA", at positions 569 to 1092 of the family's 1831-position model. The record is from RNAcentral. Lineage: Eukaryota; Fungi.
AGCAGCCGCGGUAAUUCCAGCUCCAAUAGCGUAUAUUAAAGUUGUUGCAGUUAAAAAGCUCGUAGUUGAAUUUCGGGAUCAAUACGUCUGUCGUGCCUUUGGUACGUACGGGUGUAAUUGGUUUCUACCUUCUGAGGAUCCUUGAUGUCAUUAAUUUGGUGUCUUGGGGAAUCAGGACUGUUACCUUGAAAAAAUUAGAGUGUUUAAAGCAGGCAUGCGCUUGAAUACAUUAGCAUGGAAUAAUGAAAUAGGACGUUCGAUUCUAUUUUGUUGGUUUCUAGGAUCGACGUAAUGAUUAAUAGGGAUAGUUGGGGGCAUUAGUAUUCAAUUGUCAGAGGUGAAAUUCUUGGAUUUAUUGAAGACUAACUACUGCGAAAGCAUUUGCCAAGGAUGUUUUCAUUAAUCAAGAACGAAAGUUAGGGGAUCGAAGACGAUCAGAUACCGUCGUAGUCUUAACCAUAAACUAUGCCGACUAGGGAUCGGAUGAUGUUAAUUUUUUAAUGACUCAUUCGGUGCCUUAAC